UGCAAUCUGAUAAUUCUGUAAACACUUCAAUCAUAAGUUGAAUUCUUUCGUAGAAGUCAACAAUUAUUACUGUUAAAACGAACCAAUAGUUUCUCAUUUUGCACACGUAUUGCUGAUGAUAAGAGAGUUCUGUUUUAUACUUUUGCACACGGUGACUUCUGACACCGAGUGCAUUUUUGCACUCAGCCCUUGUUUCGGAAUGCAAAAAUGGUAUAAGUAUCUCAUUAACCUUGAUUCACUUAUCAUUACAAGUAUCUAGAGAAGAAAAACAUUGUCGUCUAUCUGAAAUUUCUUAUCGUUACUCUCCUUUAAAUCUUAAAAACAUGCCUUGUGGAUCCUGCGGACCAAAUUGCACCUGCGAAAAAUGCCGAUGCUGUGGAGCAGGACAGUCAAAGUGUAGUACCGGAUGCACCUGCAGUAACUGUAAAUGCUGCAAUAAAGCACGCAAUUGCCGUUGUGGUGAUUGCAAAUGCUGCGGAGCGUCAUCAUGCUGAAAUUCUCUUUCUGUUUGAUUUCAAAUAUUUUCUCGCUGAAUGUUAAUUAUUUUAUCUAUUAAUCUGGAAUUAUUUUACACUUCGUAAAAUUUCUUGUUUUAUUUUCGCUGAUGAUGUUUGAAAUCAACGUGUAAUUUUAUUUUUAUUUAAGUAUAUAGUUUGUGUAAACCUUUCAAAAAACGAGCAAAACAUUGGUUUAUUUUAUGUUAAGAAAAUCGUGUGUUUUAAAUUUUUGAAAAUUUGCAUAUUUUUUAAACUCAUAGUAAAAAUAUUACAUGUUAAAAUUAUGAAUUUUAUAUCAAUGUAACACAUUUUUCUUAUUUAAUAAAAUUUAUAAAAACCAUAAAA
This is a long non-coding RNA of Parasteatoda tepidariorum (common house spider), 842 nucleotides long. RefSeq lists it as uncharacterized. NCBI's taxonomy places the organism in Eukaryota, Metazoa, Arthropoda, Arachnida, Araneae, Theridiidae. The record is from RefSeq and is a predicted model, not a curated record.